AACAGGAUUAGAUACCCUGGUAGUCCACGCCCUAAACGAUGUCUACUAGUUGUCGGGUUUUAAUUAACUUGGUAACGCAGCUAACGCGUGAAGUAGACCGCCUGGGGAGUACGGUCGCAAGAUUAAAACUCAAAGGAAUUGACGGGGACCCGCACAAGCGGUGGAUGAUGUGGAUUAAUUCGAUGCAACGCGAAAAACCUUACCUACCCUUGACAUGGAAGGAAUCCUGGAGAGAUCUGGGAGUGCCCGAAAGGGAACCUUCACACAGGUGCUGCAUGGCUGUCGUCAGCUCGUGUCGUGAGAUGUUGGGCUAAGUCCCGCAACGAGCGCAACCCUUGUCAUUAGUUGCUACGCAAGAGCACUCUAAUGAGACUGCCGGUGACAAACCGGAGGAAGGUGGGGAUGACGUCAAGUCCUCAUGGCCCUUAUGGGUAGGGCUUCACACGUCAUACAAUGGUACAUACAGAGGGCCGCCAACCCGCGAGGGGGAGCUAAUCCCAGAAAGUGUAUCGUAGUCCGGAUUGUAGUCUGCAACUCGACUACAUGAAGUUGGAAUCGCUAGUAAUCGCGGAUCAGCAUGUCGCGGUGAAUACGUUCCCGGGUCUUGUACACACCGCCCGUCACACCAUGGGAGCGGGUUUUACCAGAAGUAGGUAGCUUAACCGCAAGGAGGGCGCUUACCACGGUAGGAUUCGUGACUGGGGUGAAGUCGUAACAAGGUAACC
RNAcentral lists this ribosomal RNA (725 nucleotides) under uncultured bacterium. RNAcentral's name for it is "bacterial SSU rRNA". It matches the Rfam family "Bacterial small subunit ribosomal RNA", at positions 771 to 1501 of the family's 1533-position model. The record is from RNAcentral.